Molecule: ribosomal RNA, 496 nt
Filed under: uncultured bacterium
Lineage: Bacteria
Description: SSU rRNA
Rfam family: Bacterial small subunit ribosomal RNA
Source: RNAcentral
AGAUUGAACGCUGGCGGCGUGCUUAACACAUGCAAGUCGAGCGGCAGCGCGGUAGCAAUACUGGCGGCGAGCGGCGGACGGGUGAGUAACGCUUGGGAAUCUGCCUAUUAGUGGGGGACAACCCGGGGAAACUCGGGCUAAUACCGCAUACGCUCUACGGAGGAAAGCCGGGGACCGCAAGGCCUGGCGCUAAUAGAUGAGCCCAAGUCGGAUUAGCUAGUUGGUAGGGUAACGGCCUACCAAGGCGACAAUCCGUAGCUGGUCUGAGAGGACGACCAGCCACACCGGAACUGAGACACGGUCCGGACUCCUACGGGAGGCAGCAGUGGGGAAUAUUGGACAAUGGGGGAAACCCUGAUCCAGCGACGCCGCGUGGGUGAAGAAGGCCUGCGGGUUGUAAAGCCCUUUCGGUGAGGAAGAAAAGUUGCGACCUAACACGUCGCGACCUUGACGUAACUCAUUAAAGAGCACCGGCUAACUCUGUGCCAGCAGCCGC